Molecule: non-coding RNA, 28 nt
Filed under: Mus musculus (house mouse)
Lineage: Eukaryota; Metazoa; Chordata; Mammalia; Rodentia; Muridae
Source: RNAcentral
UAUGAUCGUGACCUUUCCCGCCUUGACC